Molecule: Y RNA, 101 nt
Filed under: Carlito syrichta (Philippine tarsier)
Lineage: Eukaryota; Metazoa; Chordata; Mammalia; Primates; Tarsiidae
Description: Y RNA (ENSTSYG00000021560.2)
Rfam family: Y RNA
About the family: Y RNAs are components of the Ro ribonucleoprotein particle (Ro RNP), in association with Ro60 and La proteins. The Y RNAs and Ro60 and La proteins are well conserved, but the function of the Ro RNP is not known.
Source: Rfam by way of RNAcentral
GGCUGGUCCAAGUACAGUGGAGUUUGCAACUAAUUGAUCACAACAAGUUACAGACUUUGUUUCUUCUCCACUCCCACUGGUCUUCACUUGACCAGUCUUUA